GAGUGGAGGAGGGAAUUUGAAGGGGCUAAUUUGGGCAAGGAGUUGCCGACUCCGAAGGAGAUAUCUAGAGGGCUUGAUGACUUUGUUGUUGGACAAGAGAGAGCUAAAAAGGUGCUAUCUGUUGCUGUUUACAACCACUACAAAAGAAUCUAUCAUGCUUCCUUGCACGGAGAGUCAGGUGCGGAAUACAGGAGUACCGAUGGUAAGAUUGGAGAUUUUGAUGCUGAUGAUGUGGAGCUGGAGAAGACCAAA
Molecule: non-coding RNA, 252 nt
Organism: Coffea arabica (coffee)
Lineage: Eukaryota; Viridiplantae; Streptophyta; Magnoliopsida; Gentianales; Rubiaceae
Source: RefSeq, a predicted model, not a curated record